GACGAACGCUGGCGGCGUGCCUAAUACAUGCAAGUAGAACGCUGAAGGAGGAGCUUGCUCUUCUGGAUGAGUUGCGAACGGGUGAGUAACGCGUAGGUAACCUGCCUGGUAGCGGGGGAUAACUAUUGGAAACGAUAGCUAAUACCGCAUAAGAGUAGAUGUUGCAUGACAUUUACUUAAAAGGUGCAAUUGCAUCACUACCAGAUGGACCUGCGUUGUAUUAGCUAGUUGGUGGGGUAACGGCUUACCAAGGCGACGAUACAUAGCCGAACUGAGAGGGUGAUCGGCCACACUGGGACUGAGACACGGCCCAGACUCCUACGGGAGGCAGCAGUAGGGAAUCUUCGGCAAUGGACGGAAGUCUGACCGAGCAACGCCGCGUGAGUGAAGAAGGUUUUCGGAUCGUAAAGCUCUGUUGUAAGAGAAGAACGAGUGUGAGAGUGGAAAGUUCACACUGUGACGGUAUCUUACCAGAAAGGGACGGCUAACUACGUG
Molecule: ribosomal RNA, 495 nt
Filed under: uncultured bacterium
Lineage: Bacteria
Description: partial 16S ribosomal RNA
Rfam family: Bacterial small subunit ribosomal RNA
Source: RNAcentral